RNAcentral lists this ribosomal RNA (301 nucleotides) under uncultured bacterium. RNAcentral's name for it is "partial 16S ribosomal RNA". It matches the Rfam family "Bacterial small subunit ribosomal RNA", at positions 509 to 809 of the family's 1533-position model. The record is from RNAcentral.
CAGUAGCCGCGGUAAUACGUAGGGUGCAAGCGUUAAUCGGAAUUACUGGGCGUAAAGCGUGCGCAGGCGGUUCGCUAAGACAGAUGUGAAAUCCCCGGGCUUAACCUGGGAACUGCAUUUGUGACUGGUGGGCUAGAGUAUGGCAGAGGGGGGUAGAAUCCCACGUGUAGCAGUGAAAUGCGUAGAGAUGUGGAGGAAUACCGAUGGCGAAGGCAGCCCCCUGGGCCAAUACUGACGCUCAUGCACGAAAGCGUGGGGAGCAAACAGGAUUAGAUACCCCGGUAGUCCCUGUCUCUUAUAA